RNAcentral lists this ribosomal RNA (253 nucleotides) under uncultured bacterium. RNAcentral describes it as "partial 16S ribosomal RNA". It matches the Rfam family "Bacterial small subunit ribosomal RNA", at positions 524 to 776 of the family's 1533-position model. The record is from RNAcentral.
UACGUAGGGAGCAAGCGUUGUCCGGAAUCAUUGGGCGUAAAGCGCGCGUAGGCGGCCCUGUAAGUCCGUUGUGAAAGUCAAAGGCUCAACCUUUGAAAGCCGAUGGAUACUGCAGGGCUAGAGUCCGGAAGAGGAGAGUGGAAUUCCUGGUGUAGCGGUGAAAUGCGCAGAUAUCAGGAAGAACACCUAUGGCGAAGGCAGCUCUCUGGGACGGUACUGACGCUGAGACGCGAAAGCGUGGGGAGCGAACAGG